AAAUAUUAAGCAUAAUUAUUAUUUACAAGGAGUUAUCUUAAUAAAAUUUAAUAAAAAAUAAUCAUGUAAUUAAGCAUGUGUAUACCAACGCGAAUAGCCAUCCUGUAAUUUGAAUAUUAUGUUAUCCUGUAUGUAGAAACGGGCGCUUGUUUUGAUUGAGAUUGACAGAGUGACGAGACGCCAUGAUGCUUAUGCGAUUUGCUUAUUCUGUACAUACUUCUAUUUUUCUUUCAAAUAUUCGAACUUGUUUAUUGUAUUCAGAUUCAGACCACAUUCGAAGGAGUCUGUGAAUACUUAAGGGCGUAUUGACCUUGAGUCUGUUGUGGUAAGGGCCGCCAAACACGGACUGCUUUGAGCAGUCAGUGCCAACAGCUUCAAGCGGUCGCCGUUGGGUGAUCUGCAGUUUCAAUACAAAAUCGUCAUUCGUAAUACACGAACCACCCGAAGCAGUUGCAACUGCUUCGGGCGGUUGGCUGCGCGGUGAAAUUUCAUUAUGCCGUCAAGCUGCAAAAGCAGUCCGUGUAUGUUGAUCACUGGGUUACUGCUCGAGCAGUCCGUGUAUGGCGGCUCUAAGCAAAAGCUUGUUAGAAAAAAUUCGUAGGCAGCCUUCCGAGUCGCCUUAAAGGUUGUCAAUCUUUGUAAAUAAUGAAGAACUGAGCUUUUACGGAGUUAGCGUGAAUGGUGAUUUGAUGAAUGGUAAUUCGAAAUGUGGCAAUAGUAACAUUUUAUAUAACAGCCAAAUGCGUCGUCCCUCCAGUACCUUAUAAGAAAACGUAGGUUUGCAUUUAUAUAAUCAAUGCAUAACACACUGUAGUAACAACAACACUUAAGUAAGGACGCUAACCACGAAGGAUUUCGAACACCGAACCGCCUGUCCCUAUCUCUAUCGCACGCGCAUAAUUAUAUUGCCGUCCCGCUCGUAGUGUCAUUGACCGCCGGUAUCAUGGGUAGGACAUCAAUAUGUAUAAUUACGCGCGUGCGAUAGAGAUAGGAACAGGCGGGUUCGUACGAAAUUCUUCUUAACGCCCUUCCUUGACAAACCAUUGGUAGACCUUGUUGCAUUGUGAUACGAGUUACGAAUGGUCAGUAAGGCCGACAACAUUAGCCUUAUAUUUUAGUACAGUGUGAUAUGCUCGUUUUUAUUCCCAUAAAUAUGUAUUUAUUUUCAGUCUCAAGUAGAGAUGUUUCCUUUGUGCGUAUUUUUUUUUAUUCAGAGCUUUAGGUAUGUUUUUGACGUAUUUGGAAUAUUUGACGUAGCCCUAGUGUGAAAAAUAAUAGUAUAUACGCGUUGAUUGCACAGCGUGUCAAAAUAAACAAAUUAAAUGCAACAACA
Molecule: long non-coding RNA, 1333 nt
Organism: Cydia fagiglandana
Lineage: Eukaryota; Metazoa; Arthropoda; Insecta; Lepidoptera; Tortricidae
Exons: 2
Source: RefSeq, a predicted model, not a curated record